Molecule: non-coding RNA, 21 nt
Organism: Caenorhabditis elegans
Lineage: Eukaryota; Metazoa; Nematoda; Chromadorea; Rhabditida; Rhabditidae
Source: Ensembl
UUAGAAAGGAUUGUUUAUUAA